RNAcentral lists this ribosomal RNA (379 nucleotides) under uncultured bacterium. RNAcentral's name for it is "bacterial SSU rRNA". It matches the Rfam family "Bacterial small subunit ribosomal RNA", at positions 918 to 1297 of the family's 1533-position model. The record is from RNAcentral.
GGCCCGCACAAGCGGUGGAGUAUGUGGUUUAAUUCGAUGCAACGCGAAGAACCUUACCAGGGUUUGACAUCCUGCGAAUCUCUUGGAAACGAGAGAGUGCCUUCGGGAGCGCAGUGACAGGUGGUGCAUGGCUGUCGUCAGCUCGUGUCGUGAGAUGUUGGGUUAAGUCCCGCAACGAGCGCAACCCACGUCUUUAUGUUGCCAGCAUUUUAGUUGGGCACUCUAGAGAGACCGCCGGUGAUAAACCGGAGAAGGUGUGGAUGACGUCAAGUCAUCAUGCCCCUUACAUCCUGGGCUACACACGUACUACAAUGCUACGGACAAAGAGCAGCAAGUUCGCGAGGACAAGCAAAUCUCAUAAACCGUGGCUCAGUUCAGA